CCAGCUCCAAAAGCGUAUAUUAAAGUUGUUGCAGUUAAAAAGCUCGUAGUUGGAUUUCUGGCACGGUGCGCCUGGUCCGCGCCGCCCUCGUUGGUGGUGUGUGUACCGGUUCGCGCGCCUGCCAUCCUCGGACCGGGUGCGCGGCUUCCCUUCACUGGGCGGCCGCGAUAGCUCGCCGUCUUCUACUUUGAGUAAAUCGAGUGGUUCAAACAAGGCGUUGUCGCCGUGAACAGAUUAGCAUGGAAUAAUAAGAUAGGACUUGGGUUCUAUUUUGUUGGUUUCUAGGGCCGAAGUAAUGAUUGACAGGGACAGUUGGGGGUGCUGGUAUUCACGGGCCAGAGGUGAAAUUCUUGGAUUCCGUGAAGACCAACUUAUGCGAAAGCAUUCACCAAGGAUGUCUUCU
RNAcentral lists this ribosomal RNA (403 nucleotides) under uncultured Cercozoa. RNAcentral's name for it is "SSU rRNA". It matches the Rfam family "Eukaryotic small subunit ribosomal RNA", at positions 585 to 972 of the family's 1831-position model. Lineage: Eukaryota; Cercozoa. The record is from RNAcentral.